GAUGAACGCUGGCGGCGUGCCUAAUACAUGCAAGUCGAGCGAACAGACGAGGAGCUUGCUCCUCUGACGUUAGCGGCGGACGGGUGAGUAACACGUGGAUAACCUACCUAUUAGACUGGGAUAACUUCGGGAAACCGGAGAUAAUACCGGAUAAUAUGUUCAACCGCAUGGUUCAAUAGUGAAAGACGGUUUUCCUGUCACUAAUAGAUGGAUCCGCGCCGCAUUAGCUAGUUGGUAAGGUAACGGCUUACCAAGGCGACGAUGCGUAGCCGACCUGAGAGGGUGAUCGGCCACACUGGAACUGAGACACGGUCCAGACUCCUACGGGAGGCAGCAGUAGGGAAUCUUCCGCAAUGGGCGAAAGCCUGACGGAGCAACGCCGCGUGAGUGAUGAAGGUCUUCGGAUCGUAAAACUCUGUUAUUAGGGAAGAACAAAUGUGUAAGUAACUAUGCACGUCUUGACGGUACCUAAUCAGAAAGCCACGGCUAACUACGUG
This 497-nucleotide ribosomal RNA is filed under the name uncultured bacterium. RNAcentral's name for it is "partial 16S ribosomal RNA". It matches the Rfam family "Bacterial small subunit ribosomal RNA", at positions 28 to 507 of the family's 1533-position model. The record is from RNAcentral.